Molecule: ribosomal RNA, 170 nt
Filed under: uncultured Polaromonas sp.
Lineage: Bacteria; Pseudomonadati; Pseudomonadota; Betaproteobacteria; Burkholderiales; Comamonadaceae
Description: partial 16S ribosomal RNA
Rfam family: Bacterial small subunit ribosomal RNA
Source: RNAcentral
CUACACACGUCAUACAAUGGAUGGUACAAAGGGUCGCCAACCCGCGAGGGGGAGCCAAUCCCAUAAAGCCAUUCGUAGUCCGGAUCGCGAGUCUGCAACUCGACUGCGUGAAGUCGGAAUCGCUAGUAAUCGUGGAUCAGAAUGUCACGGUGAAUACGUUCCCGGGUCUU